Molecule: non-coding RNA, 30 nt
Filed under: Rattus norvegicus (Norway rat)
Lineage: Eukaryota; Metazoa; Chordata; Mammalia; Rodentia; Muridae
Source: RNAcentral
UCUAGAUGUCAUCAGACUUUCUUAGAUAUU